Molecule: ribosomal RNA, 493 nt
Filed under: uncultured bacterium
Lineage: Bacteria
Description: partial 16S ribosomal RNA
Rfam family: Bacterial small subunit ribosomal RNA
Source: RNAcentral
GAGUGAACGCUGGCGGUAGGCCUAACACAUGCAAGUCGAACGGCAGCACAGUAAGAGCUUGCUCUUACGGGUGGCGAGUGGCGGACGGGUGAGGAAUACAUCGGAAUCUACUUUUUCGUGGGGGAUAACGUAGGGAAACUUACGCUAAUACCGCAUACGACCUACGGGUGAAAGCAGGGGAACUUCGGACCUUGCGCGAUUGAAUGAGCCGAUGUCGGAUUAGCUAGUUGGCGGGGUAAAGGCCCACCAAGGCGACGAUCCGUAGCUGGUCUGAGAGGAUGAUCGGCCACACUGGAGCUGAGACACGGUCCAUACGCCUACGGGAGGCAGCAGUGGGGAAUAUUGGACAAUGGGCGCAAGCCUGAUCCAGCCAUACCGCGUGGGUGAAGAAGGCCUUCGGGUUGUAAAGCCCUUUUGUUGGGAAAGAAAAGCAGCAGGUUAAUACCCCGCUGUUCUGACGGUACCCAAUGAAUAAGCACCGGCUAACUUCGUG